UCAUGUGGUCUCGAGUCACAGAGAGUCUAACAAACACAGCAGUAAUUUUAGGAGCUGAUGUGAUUAUAAGCUGUGAUCUUGAUAUAGAGGAGAUUUACUGGUUCAGACAGAAAUCACCGGAUCCUCCAGAGUUGAUCUUACGCACUUUCAGUAGCAGAACUGAAGAAGCCAUAUAUGAAAACAGCAUCUUUGAAGACAAAUACUCAGUGAAAACUAACAGUAGUCUGUUCAUCAGAAAUAUCAGCGCUGAUGAAUUAGGAGUUUAUUAUUGUGUGAAAACUAGUGAACCACAAAAAUUCAGCAACGGCACCAAAAUCUACAUCAGAGACCCAAAUAAUGCUUCAGAACAGGAAACACCAUGGAGAAACCUGACCAUCAUCACAUCUGUUCUGCUGAAUGUGCUUCUGAUCUUUGCAUUAAUAGGUUUGGUGAAGAGCAACACUGAUGCAACUGGAAGAUGUAAAAAUGACUCAAAUAAUCUACAGUGUGGUGAAAUUGAUUUUUCCAUGUGUGCCGGCAACACCAGGUCUGGUCCAGAGCAGAGCAAGAUUGUCUACCACCAAUAUAUAAUGUAGAAUACAUUACUGCGCCAUAAUAAGCUAACAUGUAUUCAUUUUAAUAUACCUUUUAAAAGUUAGACAUACCUUAUUUUGCAAAGUGGUAAUUAUUAUAAAAAUUACCAUUAAUAUAAUGGUUUUUUUCUGGUUAUUUUGAAUAGAGAUCUUGUUUAUAUAUAAUGGUAACAAUCAUCAUGUUUCUUUGUUGUACAUGUGCUGAUAUGUUCACACUAGUUCUUAGAGUUCCAAACCACAGGGCAAAUGAGGUUUCUUAAGGCUAAAAACACUUUUUGCCGUUGCAACUUUCAAGAAACGUCAUGCAACAAAUUACACUUGAUCAUAAAUCAGCUGGCAGUCCUGAAUAUACAUUUCACUUCUUCAUGCACGAUGUAUUGUCAUGAAAUCAAAGAAUUUUCUACUAGUUCUACAUUUUUAUAUGUUAUUAUUUUUCAUGCAGCUGGAAAUCAAGGAAACCAACCUCAAUAAAUGUACUA
This is a non-coding RNA of Carassius gibelio (silver crucian carp), 1051 nucleotides long. Lineage: Eukaryota; Metazoa; Chordata; Actinopteri; Cypriniformes; Cyprinidae. The record is from the annotation of a RefSeq genome assembly.